Long non-coding RNA from Paramisgurnus dabryanus, 3045 nucleotides. RefSeq lists it as uncharacterized. The record is from RefSeq and is a predicted model, not a curated record. Lineage: Eukaryota; Metazoa; Chordata; Actinopteri; Cypriniformes; Cobitidae.
CCUAUUUACGGUAAAUAUUCAUCAUUCAAAAUCACGCCGUAAAAUUACUUAAUGUGUUUUACACUAAAUUUAUGGGGCUCAUUUUCAAUUAUUAAUGUGUAAGGUAAGGUUGAGUAGUUAUUCAAACAAAGGUAAAUACUUUACAAUUCACUUACAAGUUUCAGCUUUAAAGCUGUGCCAGAGGUUGAUCCAAACACUGCAUGAAAAGAGCUGUAUACGGACAAAUACGGGAUGGGAAAUCUCUGCUAAACUUUAGGUUUGCCAGAUUUUCGAGGCAGAGUGCUUGGAAAGGUAAUACACCAUAGUAAACUCGUUAAACAUCCAGAAACCUUACGUUUGUGGAUGUAUGUAGGAACUGGUGGAAGUUUCCAGGAAUCCUUACAGCUGGUUGUAAGGAGGGGUGGGUGUGAGGUGUGAAGGGCUUUUUAUAUGUUAAUGACCCACAGGUAGAGGUGUCUUCUUUGUUUUCAGAGCUGAGUGGGGUGGGAGGUUAACCAUGUCUCUUUAAGACAGCACAUACAGUAUUGUGGUACAUAAAAACUGUGUUUUCUAAAUACGUUUACCAUUAAUAUAAUUUAAUUAGUCUAUUUAAGAAACUAAGCAUAAUUCAAAAUAACUAAAAUUCAAUGAACACAAUUACCAUUUUAAUGUGUGAAAAUUAUGUCUCUGACUCAAGAGAAAUGCAACAAAUGUUAUUUCAGAAUAUAUAUUUACAACACUUUGAAAACAUGUCUCCAACUGCCCUAGGUCAGAAUAUUGUGCACGUAUCUCUCAAUGCUGCAUACAUCGUUUAAAAGAAGCCGUUCAAAUGACAUCAUGUAACACAUUUUUGCUAGCUAGGAUGUUGAUAAAUUGGAAACAAAAAUAUCAAUAGACAGGUCCAUAAUCUAAAAGACAGUCUUUCACAUAUGAAUGCAAAACAUGUUGGGUGAUACAGACUGACAAACUCGGGUAAACAUAUCUGCAGAUACCUGUCAGCUACUGUACUUUUAAUCCAGAGGUGCCCAAAGUUGGCCCACAAUAGACCUUUAAUUUGGUCCAUCAUGCCACGUGAGAUAAGGAAAAAGAAAACAAAAGUCAUUGAUGCAGAUGUUCGUAUUUUUUAUUAAACAUUUUCUAAAAUGUAUCAUUUUUUGUUGUAUUUUUACAUUACAAAAUGUAAAUUAAAAUUAAAUGCAAGGGAUUAAAGUAAAUUUUUUUAUGUUUCAUGCAUUCUUGAAGGUGUAUAAAAUGCAUCACGGAAAUUAAUGGACUCGGGUACUAUAGGCUAAAAAUGAAGAGGUUGCGGCAGUGGCACACAGAGAAAAGGAUAUUUAAAAUGAUUGGCAAAACGAUUUCUUUUUUCUACAAAAAGCCUUGGAAAAUAAAACUGCAUAAGUUAUGCAUAAACAGAGUAAUGUUUGCUUAUUUAUUUUUAAAAUUAUAAAUUAGGGGUUAUCAGGGCAACUUUAAUUUUAAUAUAACACAACAACAUUUACUUUUGGCCCACGGCCCUCAGUCAGGUUUGGCCCUUGUAAGGAAAAUGUUUGGGUACCAAUCAAUGUUCUAGUCUAUCUGAGGAGGUAACUUUUAGCAUAUGAUAAUGCAUUCUUGUACAAAGUUAGUCCACAUAUUAUAAUGUUUGUCUUCAAUCAAUCAAUUUAAAUAAAAGAGAUGUAGACUUUAUAAUAUAAUAAGGGUCAAUAUAUCACAGUGAAAAAAGACAUACAUGCAUUUUUACUUUAACAUGAACUUAUGCUGAGUUAAGGCAUGUACUAAUCAUAAACUAUUGAAGAGUCAUCAUUAACUACAACAUGACAUGUUUUUCAUUGUUAGUUAAUGCAAUCAUUUACAAUAAAUUAAUUAGGCUACAUGUCUUAACUCAGUAUUAGUUUAUAUUUACUUAUAUUUAAGUAAAAAUUCAUUUAGGUAUACGUUAAAUGUUUCCAAUGAUUAGUAUGGCAGUUAAUCCACUAAACCCAGACAUAAUUCCUGAGGCAUGUUUAUACAGAGUUUUGUAUUUCAUCAAGAAAGUGCUGAUUCACAAAGAUUUUAUAUUUAAGAAAAUCUGAGCAUCAUUCAAAAUAACUGUUAACAUGUUUUUCAACUAAACAUGCUUUAUCAACGUAAUAAACUUUAUAAAAACAUUUAUUUUUAUUUUUUUAUUAAUUAUCAAGUAUAAAGAACAAUGCAUAGUGUGAAAACGCGGAUCAUAAAAAAGUAUAUUAAGUGCGAGCAGAGGAUCAAGAAGAAACAACGCCAAAGGACUUCAUUUCCCAGGAUGCACCUGCACCCACUCAUCUGCCUUCAGGUGCGACCGCUUUACCUAUGGGCUUGACGGGAAGAUUCAAAAUCGCGAACCGUUACUGCAUGGAGUUGGUCUCUUUGUUUGCUCAUCGACAUUACGAGGUCAUGUACACUGUGGUCAACUUUGUGGACGAUGAAGAGGUUUCUAGGUAAAGAUGAUAGAAAUAUAAUGAAGUAACAGUGAAAGCUAAAACAUCAGACUGAUCCAGACACUGAAGAAAUUGAUGUCACUGCAAUCUGGCCAAAAUGAUACAACUAUAUUGAAGUAGCCUACUGUAAUGAAGCUGCAGAACAACACAGAGACUCUGAGGACAUCAACACAGAAAAUGAAGGCUCCAAAGAGAUGUCUGUCCAGAUGAGGGUGCAUCAACUUUACCUUUGCUGACAACAGUUAACUUAACUCAAACCAUUUAAGGAAAUCGGUUGCCUUAAACCAUUAAGUUUUAAAAAACAUACAUUUAACUACUGUGAACUUAAGUCUUGUGCAAUUAUGCACUUAUAUUUAGGUAGUGUGAACUUAAAUAUAAGUGCAUAACUGCAUGUGACUCAAUUUUUUUAAGUUCACAGUACUCAAAUCUAUGUGUUUUAAAACUUCAAUGGUUUUAAAUGUGAGAAAUGACAGUGUUACAGUGAGAAAUGUUUGAAUAAUUCCAAGACAGAGCUCUGCUAUUGAAUCUACACUGCAAAAAAUCACUUUCUAACUUAGGAUUUUUAUCUUGUCUCAGUAGAAAAACUAAAAAUUCUUAAAUCAAGAUGUAU